Sapajus apella (tufted capuchin) is the source of this 1677-nucleotide RNA transcript. It is a transcript of the gene named heterogeneous nuclear ribonucleoprotein A1 pseudogene, with no coding region annotated. NCBI's taxonomy places the organism in Eukaryota, Metazoa, Chordata, Mammalia, Primates, Cebidae. The transcript has a single exon. The record is from RefSeq and is a predicted model, not a curated record.
AUUCCUUAGAACCGAGGUGUGGUAUAUACUUCGAGAAAUGUUGAUAUGGUUCUUCUGCCAGUGGAUGCCGCUAAAGAAGCAUCGUUAAAGUCUCUCUGCUCCCUGCCAUGAUGUCUAAGCCAGAGUCUCCUAAAGAGCCCAAAAAGCUGAGGAAGCUCUUCAUUGGAAGGUUGAGCUUUCAAACAACUGAUGAGAGCCUGAGGAGCCAUUUUGAGCAAUGGGGAACGCCCACGGACUGUGUGGUAAUGAGAGAUCCAAACACCAAGAGCUCCAGGGGCUUUGGGUUUGUCACAUAUGCCACUGUGCAGGAGGUGGAUGCAGCCAUGAAUGCAAGGCCACACAAAGUGGAUGGAAGAGUUGUGGAACCAAAGAGAGCUGACUCAAGAGAAGAUUCUCAAUGAACAAGUGCCCACUUAACAGUGAAAAGGAUUUUUGUUGAUGGCAUUAAAGAACACACUGAAGAACAUCACCUAAGAGGUUAGUUUGAACAGUAUCGAAAAAUUGAAGUGAUUGAAAUCACAAGUGACCGAGGCAGUGCCAAGAAAAGGGGCUUUGCCUUUAUAAUCUUUGACGACCAUGACUCCAUGGGUAAGACUGUUAUUCAGAAAUGCCAUACCGUGAAUGGCCAUAACUGUGAAGUUAGGAAAGCCUUAUCAAAGCAAGAGAUGGUGAGUGCUUCAUCCAGCCAAAGAGGUCAAACUGGUUAUAAAAAUUUUUCUGGUGGCUGUGGAGGCGGUUUUGAUGAGAAUGACAACUUUGAUCAUGGAGGAAACUUCAGUGGCCAUGGUGGCUUUGGUGGCCGCCAAGGUGGUGGAUAUCAUGGCAGUGGGGAUGGCUAUAAUGGAUUUGGUAAUGAUGGUGGUUAUAGAGGAGGCAGCCCUGGUUACUCUGGAGGAAGUAGAGGCUAUGGAAGUGGUGGACAGGGUUAUGUAAACCACGGCAGUGUCUAUGGCAGGAGCAGCAGACAUGACAACUGUAACAAUGAUGGUGGAGGCUGCUUUGGUGGUGGUAGUGGAAGCAGUUUUGGAGGCAGUGGAAGCUACAAUGAUUUCAGCAAUUACAACAAUCAGUCUUCAAAUUUUGGACCCACAAAGGGAGGAAACUUUGGGGGCAGAAGCUCUGACCCCUAUAGUGGUGGAGCCCAAUACUUUGCCAAACCAUGAAACCAAGGUGGCUAUGGCAGUUCCAGUAGCAGCAGUAGCUAUGGCAGUGGCAGAAAUUUUUAAUUAGGAAACAAAGCUUAGCAGGAGAGGACAACCAGAGAAGUGACAGGGAAGCUACAGGUUACAACAGAUUUGUCAACUCAGCCAAGCACAGUAGUUACAGGUCCUAGUUGCUACAAAGAAGAUAUGUUUUAGACAAAUACUCACGUAUAUGUGCAAAAAACUCCAGGACUGCCUUGUGACUAAUUGUGUAAUGGGCUAUUUUAGUUUCUGUUCUGUGGAAAGUGUAAAGCAUUCCAAAAAAGGGUUUUAAUGUAGAUUUCUUUUUUGCAUCCAUGCUGUUGAUUACUAAAUGUAAUAGCCUGAUCGUGAUGCUGAAUAAAUGUCUUUUUUUUUUUUAAUGUGCUAUGUAAAGUUAGUUUACUCUGAAGCCAUCUUGGUAAAUUUCCCCAACAGUGUGAAGUUAGAAUUCCUUCAGGGUGAUGCAAGGUUGUAUUUGGAAUUUAUAUACAAC